AGUGAACGCUGGCGGUAGGCCUAACACAUGCAAGUCGAACGGCAGCACAGUAAGAGCUUGCUCUUACGGGUGGCGAGUGGCGGACGGGUGAGGAAUACAUCGGAAUCUACUUUUUCGUGGGGGAUAACGUAGGGAAACUUACGCUAAUACCGCAUACGACCUACGGGUGAAAGCAGGGGAUCUUCGGACCUUGCGCGAUUGAAUGAGCCGAUGUCGGAUUAGCUAGUUGGCGGGGUAAAGGCCCACCAAGGCGACGAUCCGUAGCUGGUCUGAGAGGAUGAUCAGCCACACUGGAACUGAGACACGGUCCAGACUCCAACGGGAGGCACCAGUGGGGAAUAUUGGACAAUGGGCGCAAGCCUGAUCCAGCCAUACCGCGUGGGUGAAGAAGGCCUUCGGGUUGUAAAGCCCUUUUGUUGGGAAAGAAAAGCAGCAGGUUAAUACCCCGCUGUUCUGACGGUACCCAAAGAAUAAGCACCGGCUAACUUCGUG
Molecule: ribosomal RNA, 492 nt
Filed under: uncultured bacterium
Lineage: Bacteria
Description: partial 16S ribosomal RNA
Rfam family: Bacterial small subunit ribosomal RNA
Source: RNAcentral